GGCGACCGGCGCACGGGUGAGUAACGCGUAUGCAACCUACCUAUCAGAGGGGAAUAACCCGGCGAAAGUCGGACUAAUACCGCAUAAAACAGGGGCACCGCAUGGUGAUAUUUGUUAAAGAGAUUCGCUGAUAGAUGGGCAUGCGUUCCAUUAGGUAGUUGGUGAGGUAACGGCUCAUCAAGCCGACGAUGGAUAGGGGAACUGAGAGGUUGGUCCCCCACACUGGUACUGAGACACGGACCAGACUCCUACGGGAGGCAGCAGUGAGGAAUAUUGGUCAAUGGGCGGGAGCCUGAACCAGCCAAGUCGCGUGAAGGAAGAAGGAUCUAUGGUUCGUAAACUUCUUUUGCAGGGGAAUAAAGCGCAGGACGUGUCCUGUUUUGUAUGUACCCUGAGAAUAAGGAUCGGCUAACUCCGUGCCAGCCGCGGC
RNAcentral lists this ribosomal RNA (430 nucleotides) under uncultured bacterium. Its description in RNAcentral is "bacterial SSU rRNA". It matches the Rfam family "Bacterial small subunit ribosomal RNA", at positions 90 to 518 of the family's 1533-position model. The record is from RNAcentral.